GAUGAACGCUGGCGGCGUGCCUAAUACAUGCAAGUCGAGCGAACAGACGAGGAGCUUGCUCCUCUGACGUUAGCGGCGGACGGGUGAGUAACACGUGGAUAACCUACCUAUAAGACUGGGAUAACUUCGGGAAACCGGAGCUAAUACCGGAUAAUAUAUUGAACCGCAUGGUUCAAUAGUGAAAGACGGUUUUGCUGUCACUUAUAGAUGGAUCCGCGCCGCAUUAGCUAGUUGGUAAGGUAACGGCUUACCAAGGCAACGAUGCGUAGCCGACCUGAGAGGGUGAUCGGCCACACUGGAACUGAGACACGGUCCAGACUCCUACGGGAGGCAGCAGUAGGGAAUCUUCCGCAAUGGGCGAAAGCCUGACGGAGCAACGCCGCGUGAGUGAUGAAGGUCUUCGAAUCGUAAAACUCUGUUAUUAGGGAAGAACAAAUGUGUAAGUAACUAUGCACGUCUUGACGGUACCUGAUCAGAAAGCCACGGCUAACUACGUG
Molecule: ribosomal RNA, 497 nt
Filed under: uncultured bacterium
Lineage: Bacteria
Description: partial 16S ribosomal RNA
Rfam family: Bacterial small subunit ribosomal RNA
Source: RNAcentral